This 5885-nucleotide long non-coding RNA is filed under the name Sus scrofa (pig). Its description in RNAcentral is "lncRNA (ENSSSCG00060027752.1)". Lineage: Eukaryota; Metazoa; Chordata; Mammalia; Artiodactyla; Suidae. The record is from RNAcentral.
UUUUUUUUUUUUUCUUUUAACAGCUGCAUCCGCGGCAUAUGGAGGUUCCCAGCUUAGAGUCAUAUCAGAGCUGCAGCUGCUGGCCUACACCACAGCCACAGCAAUGCCAGAUCAGCUACACCACAGCUCAUAGCAACACCAGAUCCUUCCCCCACUGAGUGAGGCCAGGGAUUGAACCUGCAUCCUCAUGGAUACUAGUCGGGUUCUUAAGCUGGUGAGCCACAAUGGGAACUCCUGUUUGAGCAUCUUGUGACGCUCGAUUCUAGAAAUGGGGAUCAGCCGUAAGAAGGAUCUGUGGGCUCCUUGCUCCUGGGAGCAGCCCUGCUGGCUCAGCAAGGCAGAAGGCGAGCUGGGUGGUCCAGACCCCCCUUUAAGGAAAGGCUCACUGCCUGACUGAGAGGACAGCCCAGCCACUAGCGAGUCCAAGGUCCCCUCAGCCUUCCAGCUGUGGCCAUGCUCUUCUUGGGGCUGGCCCUGGUCAAUGGCUGAGCAGGUGAUGGACCAAAGACCAAACCACUUCCAACCACAGCCAUUUCUCCAAUGGGCGAUUUCUGCUCCAAGCCCCCCAUGGGCUGCGAGGACUUUGGAGGUCUUCCCAUGCUGGAGGCCCUUCCUGCCCAAGCCGGCUUCCCCCCUUCCUUUUAGAAAAGUCACCCCCUACCCCAUUGCAGCAUCUGCUUCCUGGGGAACCCAUCCCACGUUUGGGGGACACAGAAACCAGGGCAAUUGCAAGUAAUAGCAUGUGCUGUGGAGAGAGCACAGGGCCAUAGGAUAGAGGUGGGCUUGGCAGGAGAGGGAAGGUCAGCUGAGGUCAAGGGCACCCACCUUCUCUGACACGGGAGCUGAGACAUGAAGGAGGAGGGGGAGGGGGGGUCAGGCAGAGUCAGGGCAUCGGAGAAAGGGGGGCAGGCAGUGUGGGGAGGAGGAGGUGUGUUAGAGGAAGAGGAAGGGGAGAGUGUGGCUGGACCACAGCAGCAAAUGAGGGGAGAGCAGUUCGAGGGGAGCACGGCAGUGAUGGGGGAGCAGGGCUGUGAUGAGAGGAGCAUGGCUAUGAUGAGGGGAGCACGGCUAUAAUGAGGGGAGCACAGCAGUGAUGGGGGAGCAGGGCUGUGAUGAGGGGAGCACAGCAGUGAUGACAGGAGCACAGCAGUGAUGGAGGAGCAGGGCUGUGAUGAGGGGAGCACAGCUAUGAUGAGGGGAGCACAGCACAGUGAUGACAGGAGCACAGCAGUGAUGGAGGAGCAGGGCUGUGAUGAGGGGAGCACAGCUGUGAUGAGGGGAGCACAGCAGUGAUGGGGGAGCAGGGCUGUGAUGAGGGGAGCACAGCAGUGAUGACAGGAGCACGGCUGUGAGUGACAGGGAGGUACAGGACAUGAACCAGUGAGGCCAACCGCGCCGUGUGCAUCACACCAGAGUCCAGUUUUUCUCAUCAGUGGAGUCAGAGGACGGCAGUCCUGUAUGUGCCAGGACCCCCGGGAAACCCAGACGCGAUGAAACAAUAAAACACAGCAAUACAUUGUGAUUGGAACACAACCAGGGGCAUAUCGCAAGAGCUGCCUCCCCCAUCGGGGCUGGGAGGGGAGCAGGGAGGGGAGCACGGGGCCGGGGCGGGGGGGCGGGGGUGGAGACGCGCUAGAGGCGACGGCCAGUUCUGGCCACUGGGAAGGCCACGACGGAAGGCAAAGGAUGAAAGCGUGCUGGCGUGUGGGGACCCACACGAGUUUGUUCAGAAAAGUGAAUCACACACCACCCUCGGGAGGCUAUUCACAGCAAGUCACGUGCUCCCCUCCUCAGAUGUGACAGUGACACAUGCGCAUGUCACUCUUCCGUGGAGCAGAGCCACGUCCCUGGAGCUGGGUGGGGGUGGGGAGCAGAAUUUCCUGAACCUGAGGAGCAGCCCCCAGCCCCGCCCGGACUCCUGGAACUUGGCAGGGAUUCCAGGGAGCCUUUCCCUAGGGCAGUGGUUCUCAGCUCGAGGCACUGGUCCCUGGCAAGGUCUGGGAACAUUUUUGACUUUUACCAUGUGGGGGGAAUGCUGCUGGCGUCUAGUGGGUAGAAGCCGGGGAUGCUGCUAAACAGCCCACAUGCAGGGGACAGCACCCCCACAUGCUCCUGGUGCUGAGGGGAGGCCAGCUGCCAGGGUGGGGAAGGGCAUCCUCCAGGUGCGCUUCCCAGGCCAGCAUCUUCAGCUUUACCUGGGAACCUGAGGAAUGCAAAUCCCGGGGCCCCACCCCAGGCUUCUCCACUUAUCCGCCUUGGGUAUUUAACCGCAAGGCCCGUUAGGGAAUUCUCAGCACUGGUCUGGAAGGAGAGCUCACCUUGCCCCUCGCUCAUAGUGAUCCCCGCGUUAGAGCCUUUAGAAAACUGGGAGCAAUGUUGCCUUCCUUUUGGGGGACAUGCGACAACAUCUGGACACAUUUUUUGGUUGUCGCAUAGUGAGGGGACGCUCCUAGCAGCCAGCAGGGAGAGGCCAGGGGUCUGCUAAAUGCCCUCCAUGCAUAGGACGGCCCCCCCGCACGUAGAAGGAUCCAGCCCCAUGUGUCAGUAAUGCCAAGUGGAGUUGGAGAAACCCUAUCCUAAAUCAAGAGCUAAAUCGGGAGGUCCCGUUGUGGCUCAGCGGGUUAAGAACCCGACUAGUAUCCAUGAGGAUGCGGGUUUGAUCCCCGGCCUUGCCCAGUGGGUUAAGGAUGCUGCGUUGCCGUGAGCUGUGGCAUAGGCCGGCAGCUGCAGCUUCAAUUCCACCCCUAGCUCGGGAACGUCCAUAUGCCGCCUGUGCGGCCCUAAAAAGCCCAACAACAACACAAGCCAAAGUGUGCAUCCCUGAACCCAGGGAUGCUUUCAGGCAGGUGUCUCAGAUGAGAGCGUGCGGCAGAAUCUGACAAACACCGAGGCCUUCCGUGUAUAAUCCUGAAAGUGCAAGCACAGCCCUGUCCUCCUUAUGAAAGUACCCAGAAAGAGUCUGCAGACUCCCUCGAGGGGGUCUCCUGAGGCGGGCUGGUAGGAUGAGCUGGGGUUCAGACCCAGCCAGAGUUGGGGUGGGGGGGCUGGGGGAGAUGACCCACCCCAAGGGACAUCCCUUCCAAGCGAGAGAGCAUUCCUAUGAUAAUAACGUGAAAUGUGGUGGAGCGCUGCCUUUUCAUUAAUUUUGGUCCCUUUCAAGACCACAGUUAUUAUUAUAAAAACACCGAUAAUACCAAACAUAUGUUGAAAGUACACAGCCGACGGCAGCCCUGGAGACCUGGGGACGUGCUAAGUCAUCUGUCAUCUGGGCUGGUGAGAAAUCAGCGGGCCCCCCUCCCCUGUGCCCUCAGAGACCCCAACACCCUGCUCAUUAGGCCUGCUCGCUUGCUCUAUUCCCGUUCAAGCCCCUUCCCAGCCCAGUCUCUCCCCUCCCAUCAAAGCUCAGCGCCCCCUCUCCCGCCCCUCGUGCUAGGGUAGAUUCUGGAGGUGUUGGGUCUCCAGAAAUCCCCGUUUAAUUAUUUUAUUGGAAAAAGAGGAGGGGGAGGGCCAAGCAAAGGCACGUUCUCUCAUUUUGGAAGAAUGCUUCAUUAUCUGCCUCUGCAGCGAGCGAAACACCUCUCUGGGCUGUAGGCAGUCCUGAGUUAUUACGUGAGACACCCAGGCGCCUCGCUUCCCUCUUCCCUGAAUCUCCCCCCAUCCACCACCCGCCCGCCUGCCCUGCUGGUUGAGGGGUGCAGCAGCACAGCCCCGCUUUCCGGUGAAGCCUGGGAAAGGCCAAGAAAUGCAGUACAGCACUGCGUUGUCAAAAGAGGCUGGGACCUGGCCCCGAGCCUGCACGACCUCCUCGCCUUGUGCCGAGAACUCUGAAAUACUCCCCAAGAAGCACAGUUGGGCUGGACAGGACCCUGGAGCACGUCUGGCUCCAUCUCUGCUCUUGCUAGGACCAUCUCUCCUGCAUCCUCGGACUCUCCUUCAUCACUUCCAGUUCCCAGGGGCCCCCUGGUUCCUUAAACAGCUCAAGUCCAAGUUGAGAGGUUAGGAAGUCCCUUCCUGGCUAAAACAGAACGAGAGAUACCUGCCAGGAAGGGUAGCACUUUGUGACCAGGUGACUUUGCAAAAGUCUCCCAUAGCCCCAGCCUCACUUAACAGCAUCUCCUCGUGGGGGUGACAGAGCAGAGGUUGUGAGCCCCAAGUGACAGAGGAGGAAGAUGAAACCUAAUGAAGUGAAGUGGCUUCUCCAGGUGCACACAGCAGUGACAAGGCAGGGUCACUGGGAGGCCAUGAGGCUCUUGUCCUCAGCAGGACAUUGUCACCUCGUGUCUGCUUCCUGAUCCGUCUCAGGGAAGGACAAUCCCCACCCACUUCUAACAGUGCCCUUCCCAAAUGCUCUCCGCCCCCCUCGGCUCCUGGACCACAUGGAGGGCGUGGCCCCUGUGUUCCUGAUGGCGCCUUCAUCCUCAGAAGGCGUCCACGGCCACGUUCAGAGCACUUGGCUUCGGGAUUACCAACCAGAUGCUCCUCUCAUGCCAGGUUGUCCCCAGGGAACAGGGGCUCCACCCCCGCCCUUGAACAUCUAGCUCUUCCUCCCACCAUGGUCCCUCCCCCACCCAAGGCACUGAAGGGCGGGCCAGGCUUCGACCGCAUCAUCUACGGAAAAACUAAAACCUCUUUCUCAUUGGUAGAGAAUUCUAUCCACCCCAACUUCUGAAGACCUGAGUGGGGAGUUUCUUGAGGACAGCCCCUUAAAAAUAAGAACACAAACGGGCCUUAUUGACUGCUGUAUGAUCAACUCAUGUUCACUCUCACAACUCCAGGAGGUGGGUGGUCUCUUUGUGCCCAUUCUACAGAUUAAGUAACUGAAGCACAGAGUCAGCAAGAAACUUGCUGGAGGUCACAUCACUGCAAGCUGGGGGAGUAUGAUUAGAGAAAGAAAGAAAGAAAGAAAGAAAGAAAGAAAGAAAGAAAGAAAGAAAGAAAGAGAAAGAAGGAAGGAAGGACAGACAGACAAUUACUGGGGGGGGGCCUUCAGGGAGACAGGGAGUUAAUAAGAGCUCAGACAGAAGCUAUUUCUCCAGGAAUAUUUCCAGGCGGAUAAAACCACCUUCUCAUUCUUCGGCGCGUCCUGCAGUUGUCAAAACCAGACAGCGUCUCAGUGAAGGACCUUGACCCACGUGUGCUUUGCCCAUAACCAUCCUUCCUCCCUUGCAUGUUCUGCCACAGCUGUGUGAGCGUCAUCAGCAUUAUAACAAAACACUCCCCAAAUCUCGGUGGUUUAGCACAAGGGAGCUUUCGUUUUCAUUCUUGUCACAAUCCAAAUGGAUGUUCGAUAGGGAGCCUUCCAAGUGGGACUUCGAGGAUUCCCGGGUCCCAGCUCCCUUGAUGUCGUCCUUCCUUGGGGACAGUGAAGGGGAAAAGCAAGCUCACGCAUCCCAUCAUGAGAACAUUUCACAGAGCCCUGGAAAUGGAAAGCCGCCACCCCACCCAUAGCGCGUCAUCAAGAAGCUGGUUGCAUGAAUGCCCAAACUAAUGACGGGGGCGCGGGCUGGUAAAUGCCGACUUCGGGGGCAGUAAAUGCCCCCAACUUCCUAGUGUCUAGGAAGAGACUAUGAGAUGGAACGCUCCUGGGGGGUGGGGGUGGGUCUCGACCACACCAGUGACUCCACUUCCAUAUCGUCAACUCUACCGCCAUUGCCUGCCCCCAGCAGUCACUCCAUGUCUCUUCAAAGGUAAUCCUCAGAAUGAAACCCAACUCCGCUAAGACAUGGCCUGCUCGGGCCAGGAGACCUUGUAGCAUCACCUUCCUGGAUCUGGGCCCCAUAUGUCCAUUAAGGCAGCCUACAAGGAUUUUAACAUUUUUAGCAACAGUCACACGGUUGGAUCAAAUUAGUCUUGUGGUCAACGAAAACCCCCAGAUCGCUUUCAUG